AUCGCUUCUCGGCCUUUUGGCUAAGAUCAAGUGUAGAAUCCCUUCCAAUGAAUGUAAUACGAUAGGUGCCUCCAGCCUCUGCAAAUAUUAAGGCUUCAUCCUUAAACUGUCUUCUUACUCUGGUUGAGUGAAGUUUAAAGUACAAUAAUGAGAAAUGAUUCUUACUGGAGUAUAUAGAAUAUAGAAUAU
Molecule: non-coding RNA, 189 nt
Organism: Mus caroli (Ryukyu mouse)
Lineage: Eukaryota; Metazoa; Chordata; Mammalia; Rodentia; Muridae
Source: RefSeq, a predicted model, not a curated record